This 86-nucleotide transfer RNA is filed under the name Streptomyces sp. BB1-1-1. Its description in RNAcentral is "tRNA-Leu". It matches the Rfam family "tRNA". From Rfam's summary of the family: Transfer RNA (tRNA) molecules are approximately 80 nucleotides in length. Their secondary structure includes four short double-helical elements and three loops (D, anti-codon, and T loops). Further hydrogen bonds mediate the characteristic L-shaped molecular structure. tRNAs have two regions of fundamental functional importance: the anti-codon, which is responsible for specific mRNA codon recognition, and the 3' end, to which the tRNAs corresponding amino acid is attached (by aminoacyl-tRNA synthetases). tRNAs cope with the degeneracy of the genetic code in two manners: having more than one tRNA (with a specific anti-codon) for a particular amino acid; and 'wobble' base-pairing, i.e. permitting non-standard base-pairing at the 3rd anti-codon position. Lineage: Bacteria; Bacillati; Actinomycetota; Actinomycetes; Kitasatosporales; Streptomycetaceae. The record is from RNAcentral. RNAcentral also lists the same sequence under 8 other names.
GCCCGGGUGGUGGAAUCGGUCAGACACGGGGACCUUAAAAGUCUCUGGCCUCCAGGGCCGUGCGGGUUCGAAUCCCGCCCCGGGCA